UACGUAGGUCCCGAGCGUUGUCCGGAUUUAUUGGGUGCAAAGGGAGCGUAGACGGCGAUGCAAGUCUGAAGUGAAAGGCGGGGGCCCAACCCCCGGACUGCUUUGGAAACUGUAUGGCUGGAGUGCAGGAGAGGUAAGUGGAAUUCCUAGUGUAGCGGUGAAAUGCGUAGAUAUUAGGAGGAACACCAGUGGCGAAGGCGGCUUACUGGACUGUAACUGACGUUGAGGCUCGAAAGCGUGGGGAGCAAACGGG
Molecule: ribosomal RNA, 253 nt
Filed under: uncultured bacterium
Lineage: Bacteria
Description: partial 16S ribosomal RNA
Rfam family: Bacterial small subunit ribosomal RNA
Source: RNAcentral